GAUCGCAUAGCGCAAUGGAUUAUCGCGUCUGACUUCGGAUUAGAAGGUCGUGGAUUCGACUCCCACUGUGGUGC
Molecule: transfer RNA, 74 nt
Filed under: Ipomoea nil (Japanese morning glory)
Lineage: Eukaryota; Viridiplantae; Streptophyta; Magnoliopsida; Solanales; Convolvulaceae
Rfam family: tRNA
About the family: Transfer RNA (tRNA) molecules are approximately 80 nucleotides in length. Their secondary structure includes four short double-helical elements and three loops (D, anti-codon, and T loops).
Source: Rfam by way of RNAcentral